This 468-nucleotide ribosomal RNA is filed under the name uncultured bacterium. RNAcentral describes it as "partial 16S ribosomal RNA". It matches the Rfam family "Bacterial small subunit ribosomal RNA", at positions 28 to 507 of the family's 1533-position model. The record is from RNAcentral.
GACGAACGCUGGCGGCGUGCUUAACACAUGCAAGUCGAACGGUGAAGCUCCAGCUUGCUGGAGUGGAUCAGUGGCGAACGGGUGAGUAACACGUGAGCAACCUGCCCCUGACUCUGGAAUAAGCGCUGGAAACGGCGUCUAAUACUGGAUACGAGAAGGUGCCGCAUGGGCACUUUCUGGAAAGUUUGUCGGUUGGGGAUGGGCUCGCGGCCUAUCAGCUUGUUGGUGAGGUAAUGGCUCACCAAGGCGACGACGGGUAGCCGGCCUGAGAGGGCGACCGGCCACACUGGGACUGAGAUACGGCCCAGACUCCUACGGGAGGCAGCAGUGGGGAAUAUUGCACAAUGGGCGAAAGCCUGAUGCAGCGACGCCGCGUGCGGGAUGACGGCCUUCGGGUUGUAAACCUCUUUCAGCAGGGAAGAAGCGAAAGUGACGGUACCUGCAGAAGAAGCACCGGCUAACUACGUG